UGUUAACCAUUGUGAGCUCAUGAACUCAAAACUUUAGAAAUGCCCAACCGAGUAGUGUUACUAAAGAAUCUAUCAACUCAAAAAUAUGUUAAUCCAUUGUUUCCCUUCUCAUUACAGGUUAUUCUGAAUAUCGAACAACCAAUUAAGAUCGUAAUUAUCAUCAUGUUCUGCAGCAUCAGCUUCAGAAUCUUCAUCAUCAUCAUCUUCUGCAACAUCAACAUUUGAA
This 226-nucleotide long non-coding RNA is filed under the name Capsicum annuum. RNAcentral's name for it is "long non-coding RNA (CANN_LNC020425)". Lineage: Eukaryota; Viridiplantae; Streptophyta; Magnoliopsida; Solanales; Solanaceae. The record is from RNAcentral.